GUCAAAUCACCCUGAAGGAUGUUUAGGUGAAUGUGGGAAGAAGUUAUGCUUAGAGAUCACUGUGAUGAUUCCCUACACUAUCCUUUCGGAGAAAACAAGUUAAAGGAGCUGGUAUUAUGAUUGAUUCUGAAGACUCUUGAGAACAUCAUUACUACAUGGCAGCACAUCUGGCAAAUGAGUGGCAAGAUCAAGUUGAAGUCAUGGAACAUUCCAGAGAGGCCAACAUUCUAAAUAAAAGCAGCUUAACUCAGAAUGCUGUGCAGUAAAGGGUGAUUGCUUUGGCUUCUGCAGUAGCCUCAUUGAUGAUCUGGCAUUAAGAAGCUUUCAACAAGUAAAAUUUAAAAGAUGUGCCCAUUGGAAAGAAGGUGAAAAAUUAUAUCAAUGGAUUUGAAAGAACUCAACUGGAAUUCCAUUACCUCCACUAACUUUGUUCAC
This is a long non-coding RNA of Cervus elaphus (red deer), 435 nucleotides long. RefSeq lists it as uncharacterized. The transcript is spliced from 3 exons. The record is from RefSeq and is a predicted model, not a curated record. Lineage: Eukaryota; Metazoa; Chordata; Mammalia; Artiodactyla; Cervidae.